AGAGUUUGAUCAUGGCUCAGAACGAACGCUGGCGGCGUGCCUAACACAUGCAAGUCGAGCGCGAAAGGAGCAAUCCGAGUAGAGCGGCGCACGGGUGCGUAACACGUGGGUAAUCUGCCCUCGAGCGUGGGAUAACCUUCCGAAAGGACGGCUAAUACCACAUGAGCUCACGGGAGCUUCGGCUCCUGCGGGAAAAGUAGGCCUCUGUUUACAAGCUUACACUUGAGGAUGAGCCCGCGGCCCAUCAGCUAGUUGGUGAGGUAAUGGCGCACCAAGGCUACGACGGGUAGCUGGUCUGAGAGGACGAUCAGCCACACUGGAACUGAGACACGGUCCAGACUCCUACGGGAGGCAGCAGUGGGGAAUUUUCCACAAUGGGCGAAAGCCUGAUGGAGCAACGCCGCGUGUGUGAUGAAGGUCUUCGGAUCGUAAAGCACUUUCGACCGGGACGAAUAUCCUGAACCCAACACGUUCAGGCUUGACGGUACCGGGAGAAGAAGCACCGGCUAACUCUGUGCCAGCAGCCGCGGUAAUACAGAGGGUGCAAGCGUUGUUCGGAAUUAUUGGGCGUAAAGCGCGUGUAGGCGGCAUGGCAAGUCGGGUGUGAAAGCCCUCAGCUCAACUGAGGAAGUGCGCCCGAAACUGCUGUGCUUGAGUACCGGAGAGGGUGGCGGAAUUCCGCAAGUAGAGGUGAAAUUCGUAGAGAUGCGGAGGAACACCGGUGGCGAAGGC
This 732-nucleotide ribosomal RNA is filed under the name uncultured bacterium. Its description in RNAcentral is "bacterial SSU rRNA". It matches the Rfam family "Bacterial small subunit ribosomal RNA", at positions 8 to 722 of the family's 1533-position model. The record is from RNAcentral.